UAUGUGAUCGUCUCUCGCAUAUCAAUAAGCGGAGGAAAAGAAACUAACAAGGAUUCCCCUAGUAACGGCGAGUGAAGCGGGAAGAGCUCAAAUUUGAAAUCUUAAAGGGUUUCCCUUUACGAAUUGUAGUUUAAAGAAGUGUUUUCUGUUGAGGUUUUGGUAAAAGUUCUUUGGAAUAGGACAUCAUAGAGGGUGAGAAUCCCGUAUUUGACCUUUACUUUCAACUUUGUGAUACACUUUCAAAGAGUCGGAUUGUUUGGGAAUGCAGUCCAAAAUGGGUGGUAAAUUUCAUCUAAAGCUAAAUAUUGGCGAGAGACCGAUAGCGAACAAGUACCGUGAGGGAAAGAUGAAAAGAACUUUGAAAAGAGAGUUAAACAGUACGUGAAAUUGUCAAAAGGGAAGCGUUUGACACCAGUGUUGUUUUUCUGAAAAUCAAUUAAAGAACUGUUUAUGCUAAGCUGUUUAGACUUUAUCAGCUAUCUGUCUAGUUUUGAGCUUUUCUUUAAUGCACUUUUCAGUUAACAAGUCAACAUCAAUUUCUUUUGCUGUAAAAAGGCUUGAGGAAGGUGGCUUGAGAUUCGUCUUAAGUGUUUAUAGCCUCUUGCCUAUGCAGUCGGAGAGAUUGAGGUCUGCAGCGUAGAUCCUUCGGGGCUAAAUGCAUUUGUGCUAAGUUAUAGCAUUUUAUAGACAACUUGUUGACUAUGAUUUGUCUUGUAGCUUACUCGCUUAUGUUAUUUUACCUACGCUUAGGAUGUUGAUCUACAGAGCGAGAGU
RNAcentral lists this ribosomal RNA (774 nucleotides) under uncultured Neocallimastigales. RNAcentral describes it as "partial large subunit ribosomal RNA". It matches the Rfam family "Eukaryotic large subunit ribosomal RNA", at positions 24 to 635 of the family's 3401-position model. Lineage: Eukaryota; Fungi; Neocallimastigomycota; Neocallimastigomycetes; Neocallimastigales. The record is from RNAcentral.